CUGGAGGUAUCAGAAGUGCGAAUGCUGACAUAAGUAACGAUAAAGCGGGUGAAAAGCCCGCUCGCCGGAAGACCAAGGGUUCCUGUCCAACGUUAAUCGGGGCAGGGUGAGUCGACCCCUAAGGCGAGGCCGAAAGGCGUAGUCGAUGGGAAACGGGUUAAUAUUCCCGUACUUGGUGUUACUGCGAAGGGGGGACGGAGAAGGCUAUGUUGGCCGGGCGACGGUUGUCCCGGUUUAAGCGUGUAGGUGUGUGUUCCAGGUAAAUCCGGUUCACUUUAACACUGAGGCGUGACGACGAGGCACUACGGUGCUGAAGCAACAAAUGCCCUGCUUCCAGGAAAAGCCUCUAAGCAUCAGGUAACAUCAAAUCGUACCCCAAACCGACACAGGUGGUCAGGUAGAGAAUACCAAGGCGCUUGAGAGAACUCGGGUGAAGGAACUAGGCAAAAUGGUGCCGUAACUUCGGGAGAAGGCACGCUGACAUGUAGGUGAAGUGAUUUACUCAUGGAGCUGAAGUCAGUCGAAGAUACCAGCUGGCUGCAACUGUUUAUUAAAAACACAGCACUGUGCAAACACGAAAGUGGACGUAUACGGUGUGACGCCUGCCCGGUGCCGGAAGGUUAAUUGAUGGGGUCAGCGCAAGCGAAGCUCCUGAUCGAAGCCCCGGUAAACGGCGGCCGUAACUAUAACGGUCCUAAGGUAGCGAAAUUCCUUGUCGGGUAAGUUCCGACCUGCACGAAUGGCGUAAUGAUGGCCAGGCUGUCUCCACCCGAGACUCAGUGAAAUUGAACUCGCUGUGAAGAUGCAGUGUACCCGCGGCAAGACGGAAAGACCCCGUGAACCUUUACUAUAGCUUGACACUGAACAUUGAGCCUUGAUGUGUAGGAUAGGUGGGAGGCUUUGAAGUGUGGACGCCAGUCUGCAUGGAGCCGACCUUGAAAUACCACCCUUUAAUGUUUGAUGUUCUAACGUGGACCCGUAAUCCGGGUUGCGGACAGUGUCUGGUGGGUAGUUUGACUGGGGCGGUCUCCUCCUAAAGAGUAACGGAGGAGCACGAAGGUUGGCUAAUCCUGGUCGGACAUCAGGAGGUUAGUGCAAUGGCAUAAGCCAGCUUGACUGCGAGCGUGACGGCGCGAGCAGGUGCGAAAGCAGGUCAUAGUGAUCCGGUGGUUCUGAAUGGAAGGGCCAUCGCUCAACGGAUAAAAGGUACUCCGGGGAUAACAGGCUGAUACCGCCCAAGAGUUCAUAUCGACGGCGGUGUUUGGCACCUCGAUGUCGGCUCAUCACAUCCUGGGGCUGAAGUAGGUCCCAAGGGUAUGGCUGUUCGCCAUUUAAAGUGGUACGCGAGCUGGGUUUAGAACGUCGUGAGACAGUUCGGUCCCUAUCUGCCGUGGGCGCUGGAGAACUGAGGGGGGCUGCUCCUAGUACGAGAGGACCGGAGUGGACGCAUCACUGGUGUUCGGGUUGUCAUGCCAAUGGCACUGCCCGGUAGCUAAA
This 1497-nucleotide ribosomal RNA is filed under the name Salmonella enterica subsp. enterica serovar Gaminara. Its description in RNAcentral is "partial 23S ribosomal RNA". It matches the Rfam family "Bacterial large subunit ribosomal RNA", at positions 1273 to 2753 of the family's 2925-position model. Lineage: Bacteria; Pseudomonadati; Pseudomonadota; Gammaproteobacteria; Enterobacterales; Enterobacteriaceae. The record is from RNAcentral.